AAACGAGAUCACCAGGCGCCGGAACGACUUUAAUAACUGUCUACAAGUGAAUUGUCUAAAAUCCAGUAGAGUGGUUUGAUAACAAUCUUUAACAGUUAAAAAAAAAAGAGAGAGUUAAAACGGCAAGUCGUUUUGAGAACCAAUAUAAGCCCAGUUUCUGAUCUGGAAACCCGGGCCUAAGAUAAGUUGAAACUCCCUUUCUUCUUCAUCACCAAGCAAAGUCAGAGAUCCCAGAUCAUAUCAGAUCAUCUACCUGUUCCAUUUUUCACCAAAUCAAACAGUGACCUUUUCAAAACCCUAAAUCUCUGCAUUAUGAGCUCUCCACCCAUUCUCGGAGGCGCGAGCUUGUUUACAGGGUUCACGAAGCUAUGCAAAGGUCUCGCGGUGGUUCUCGUCGCUGGUCACAUUGUUGUUCAGAUUUUCCCCUCCGCUGUUAACUAUCUUGCUCUUAUUCCUGCCAGGACGAUUCCUUUUGCAUGGAACCUCUUAACAGCUGGUUACAUCGAACAAUCGAUAUAUGGAGUGGUUGCAAGCACUUUAUGCCUCCUCAUCAUGGGAAAGCUUCUUGAGCCAGUAUGGGGUUCUAAGGAGUUCUUAAAGUUCAUUUUCAUAGUCAACUUUCUUACCUCUGUCUGUGUUUUCAUUACUGCGAUUAGCCUGUACUACAUAACAAGGCAGGAAAAUUACCUUUAUAUGCCCAUUUCUGGCUUCCAAGGGAUCCUGGCAGGUUUCUUGGUUGGUACCAAGCAAAUUAUACCUGACCAAGAGCUGUCUCUAUUAAGAUUAAAGGCAAAGUGGUUUCCGUCUCUUAUGCUCUUGAUAGCUAUUGUUAUAAGCUUCUUUACUGCAGAGUCAGCAAAAUAUCUUCCAACCAUAAUAUUUGGCACUUAUAUGAGCUGGAUUUACUUGAGAUACUUUCAUAGGAAACCAGAAACAAAACUAAGGGGUGAUCCAAGUGAUGAUUUUGCAUUCUCAUCCUUCUUCCCUGAAUUCCUCAGGCCAGUCAUUGAUCCUAUUGCAUCAAUAUUCCAUCGGAUGCUUUGUGGUAGAUUCGAAACGUCUACUGAAGCCCACGGUCACACCUUGGGAGGUGCUCCAUUGCCUGGUUCUGAUCCCAUCGAGGCAUCUAGGAGGAGAGAAAGAGGAGCUAGAGCACUGGAAGAGAGAUUGGCAGCUGAGAGGUUGGCCACUGCACGGAGUGCUGAAGAGUUGAAAAAGGAUGUCUCAGAGAAUGUUUGAUUGCUCGACUUCACUUUCAAACAUAAACAACAAAUGCGAAAUUGUAUCUUUUAUGACCACUUCAGAGUUUGUGCAGUACUUGGAAAGAAGUCUUUUUGAAAUCCUGAAGAACUAUCCCUGGGAUGGCUUUGCAGAAAUAGAUGGAAAUUUUUUAUCUGCCAACGGAGGCUGCUUUCCCAGAAAGAUGCGUAACCAUCAAGAUUUUGUCGGUGGAUGGGCUUUUGUUUCCAGCUAGGACCCAUUUUUUAUUACAGGUGUUGAAACUCUAUGCAACUGUUCAUUAUUGGAUCACAAUUUAAGAUUGGUAGACUGCUUCGAAAAAUAAGGUUUGACACGAGCAUUCUUUUGAAUUCGCUGGGAUGGACACAAUAAUGGAAUUGGUUGGGAAGAUCCGAAUCUCAA
RNA transcript from Populus trichocarpa (black cottonwood), 1641 nucleotides. It is a transcript of the gene named rhomboid-like protein 19, with no coding region annotated. The transcript is spliced from 9 exons. The record is from RefSeq and is a predicted model, not a curated record. Lineage: Eukaryota; Viridiplantae; Streptophyta; Magnoliopsida; Malpighiales; Salicaceae.